RNAcentral lists this long non-coding RNA (311 nucleotides) under Citrus sinensis (sweet orange). RNAcentral's name for it is "long non-coding RNA (CSIN_LNC000910)". Lineage: Eukaryota; Viridiplantae; Streptophyta; Magnoliopsida; Sapindales; Rutaceae. The record is from RNAcentral.
GUGACUGUGGGAAAAAUCGAUCCGGCUGCCCCUUGCUUUUCCGAUAUGUGUGCGUGGUUGUGUGCAUGAAAUUGUGAAGAGUGUUCUUGAGAUGAGAUUGAGAAGUUGAGGAAGGGAGGAAGAGUGUUCUCUGUUUUUUUUCUUUUUUUUUUUCCGUUUUGAUGCGACUGAAGAAUGUUAUUGGCUUGGCUAAAAUGUGAUUUUGUCUUUAGCUAUUAAAGAGUGUUGAGUGUUCUUCACGUGCAUGUGCUCUUUAGUCUUUGGGUUUAGGUUUCCUUUUUUUACCUUUAAUUUCUUUUUUUUUCUUUGGC